UUUUCCCUGCGGUGUCCGCGAAGGCAUAUAUUCCUUUGAACCAAUAAGUUCGCUUAAGGUUGCCGGGAGCAGUAGUGGGCGCGAGCGUCCUUUUGCGGACGCACCCGAAACUACCCGAGGCAGCCGCCUUGUCAGCAAGGUUCAAGCGGAUUCGGCCGAAACGGCUCUCGCGGGGAUUCC
Molecule: non-coding RNA, 180 nt
Organism: Neisseria meningitidis MC58
Lineage: Bacteria; Pseudomonadati; Pseudomonadota; Betaproteobacteria; Neisseriales; Neisseriaceae
Rfam family: 6S / SsrS RNA
About the family: E. coli 6S RNA was the first non coding RNA to be sequenced, but its function was unknown until recently. It consists of 184 nucleotides that fold into an extended hairpin structure with a large single-stranded internal bulge.
Source: Rfam